GGUCCUUGGUUUAUGACCUUGAAAUUGAUCUCAAGGUCAUAGCUUAAUUUGACGUUCUAGAUUUUGACCUUUGCUUUUAUUCUAUAUGUAUACAUGAUAAAGGUAUACAACUUUUAGAAAAAGGUAUCAAACCAUUUAACCUUGAAAAAAACCAACCGGAAGUGACCUUUUGUAAACCGGAAGUAGCUAUUUUUUUGUACUUUAUUAAUAUAAAAGUAUAUAGAAC
This 226-nucleotide long non-coding RNA is filed under the name Mytilus galloprovincialis (Mediterranean mussel). Lineage: Eukaryota; Metazoa; Mollusca; Bivalvia; Mytilida; Mytilidae. The record is from RNAcentral.